AGCGAACGCUGGCGGCAGGCUUAACACAUGCAAGUCGAACGGGCGUAGCAAUACGUCAGUGGCAGACGGGUGAGUAACGCGUGGGAACGUACCUUUUGGUUCGGAACAACACAGGGAAACUUGUGCUAAUACCGGAUAAGCCCUUACGGGGAAAGAUUUAUCGCCGAAAGAUCGGCCCGCGUCUGAUUAGCUAGUUGGUGAGGUAACGGCUCACCAAGGCGACGAUCAGUAGCUGGUCUGAGAGGAUGAUCAGCCACAUUGGGACUGAGACACGGCCCAAACUCCUACGGGAGGCAGCAGUGGGGAAUAUUGGACAAUGGGCGCAAGCCUGAUCCAGCCAUGCCGCGUGAGUGAUGAAGGCCCUAGGGUUGUAAAGCUCUUUUGUGCGGGAAGAUAAUGACGGUACCGCAAGAAUAAGCCCCGGCUAACUUCGUGCCAGCAGCCGCGGUAAGGUGCGCGAGU
RNAcentral lists this ribosomal RNA (462 nucleotides) under uncultured bacterium. RNAcentral describes it as "bacterial SSU rRNA". It matches the Rfam family "Bacterial small subunit ribosomal RNA", at positions 29 to 534 of the family's 1533-position model. The record is from RNAcentral.